This 233-nucleotide long non-coding RNA is filed under the name Sarcophilus harrisii (Tasmanian devil). RNAcentral describes it as "lncRNA (ENSSHAG00000025473.1)". Lineage: Eukaryota; Metazoa; Chordata; Mammalia; Dasyuromorphia; Dasyuridae. The record is from RNAcentral.
GGAGGUUCUCCCAGCCCCUGCCCAUCGAGAGGGUGCACAGGCUGGGGGGCUGCGCAGACUGCUGGGAGUUGUAGUUUCUCCCGCCUGACGUCGGAAGCAGCUGCCUUCUUCCCUUUCUGACAGUGUUCCUAACCUGGGGACAUCGCAUCAAUCCUGCUAUGAGCUUUCUUCUAGUGCUGGGAACCGGAGACUAGGAAUCACCGACUUUCAGAGCACAAAGGUACUUACUUAAU